Molecule: ribosomal RNA, 468 nt
Filed under: uncultured bacterium
Lineage: Bacteria
Description: partial 16S ribosomal RNA
Rfam family: Bacterial small subunit ribosomal RNA
Source: RNAcentral
GACGAACGCUGGCGGCGUGCUUAACACAUGCAAGUCGAACGGAAAGGCCCUGCUUUUGUGGGGUGCUCGAGUGGCGAACGGGUGAGUAACACGUGAGUAACCUGCCCUUGACUUUGGGAUAACUUCAGGAAACUGCGGCUAAUACCGGAUAGGAGCUCCUGCUGCAUGGGGGGGGUUGGAAAGUUUCGGCGGUUGGGGAUGGACUCGCGGCUUAUCAGCUUGUUGGUGGGGUAGUGGCUUACCAAGGCUUUGACGGGUAGCCGGCCUGAGAGGGUGACCGGCCACAUUGGGACUGAGAUACGGCCCAGACUCCUACGGGAGGCAGCAGUGGGGAAUCUUGCACAAUGGGCGGAAGCCUGAUGCAGCAACGCCGCGUGCGGGAUGACGGCCUUCGGGUUGUAAACCGCUUUCGCCUGUGACGAAGCGUGAGUGACGGUAAUGGGUAAAGAAGCACCGGCUAACUACGUG